UGAGCAAUCUGCCUAGAUGUGGGGGAUAGCCGGCCCAACGGCCGGGUAAUACCGCAUACGCUCUCCUGGUGGCAUCACCGGGUGAGGAAACUUUCGAGGCGUCUAGAGGAGCUCGCGGCCUAUCAGCUAGUUGGUGAGGUAAUGGCUCACCAGGCUUUGACGGGUANCUGGUCUGAGAGGAUGGCCAGCCACAGUUGGGACUGAGAUACCGGCCCAGAUCCGUACGGG
This 228-nucleotide ribosomal RNA is filed under the name uncultured bacterium. RNAcentral describes it as "partial 16S ribosomal RNA". It matches the Rfam family "Bacterial small subunit ribosomal RNA", at positions 118 to 345 of the family's 1533-position model. The record is from RNAcentral.